UACGGAGGAUGCGAGCGUUAUCCGGAUUUAUUGGGUUUAAAGGGUGCGUAGGCGGGAUGCCAAGUCAGCGGUAAAAAUGCGGUGCUCAACGCCGUCGAGCCGUUGAAACUGGCGUUCUUGAGUGGGCGAGAAGUAUGCGGAAUGCGUGGUGUAGCGGUGAAAUGCAUAGAUAUCACGCAGAACUCCGAUUGCGAAGGCAGCAUACCGGCGCCCUACUGACGCUGAGGCUCGAAAGCGUGGGGAGCAAACAGG
This 252-nucleotide ribosomal RNA is filed under the name uncultured bacterium. RNAcentral describes it as "partial 16S ribosomal RNA". It matches the Rfam family "Bacterial small subunit ribosomal RNA", at positions 524 to 776 of the family's 1533-position model. The record is from RNAcentral.